GAUGAACGCUGGCGGCGUGCCUAAUACAUGCAAGUCGAGCGAACGGACGAGAAGCUUGCUUUUCUGAUGUUAGCGGCGGACGGGUGAGUAACACGUGGAUAACCUACCUAUAAGACUGGUAUAACUUCGGGAAACCGGAGCUAAUACCGGAUAAUAUUUUGAACCGCAUUGUUCAAAAGUGAAAGACGGUCGUGCUGUCACUUAUAGAUGGAUCCGCGCUGCAUUAGCUAGUUGGUAAGUUAACGGCUUACCAAGGCAACGAGGCAUAGCCGACCUGAGAGGCGGAUCGGCCACACUGGAAGUGAGACACGGUCCAGACUCCUGCGGGAGGCAGCAGUAGGGAAUCUUCCGCAAUGGGCGAAAGCAUGACGGAGCAACGCCGCGUGAGUGAUGACGGUCUUCGGAUCGUAAAACUCUGUUAUUAGGGAAGAACAUAUGUGUAAGUAAAUGUGCACAUCUUGACGGUAACUAAUCAGAAAGCCACGGCUAACUACGUG
RNAcentral lists this ribosomal RNA (497 nucleotides) under uncultured bacterium. Its description in RNAcentral is "partial 16S ribosomal RNA". It matches the Rfam family "Bacterial small subunit ribosomal RNA", at positions 28 to 507 of the family's 1533-position model. The record is from RNAcentral.